UUUAAAUGAGAGUUUGAUCCUGGCUCAGGACGAACGCUGGCGGCGUGCCUAACACAUGCAAGUCGAGCGAAGUGCUU
Molecule: ribosomal RNA, 77 nt
Filed under: Wansuia hejianensis
Lineage: Bacteria; Bacillati; Bacillota; Clostridia; Lachnospirales; Lachnospiraceae
Description: partial 16S ribosomal RNA
Rfam family: Bacterial small subunit ribosomal RNA
Source: RNAcentral